UGAUAUGUUUGAUAUUCGGUUGUUCUUUUGCUUUAUUAUGUCAACUAAAUAUCAGACAUAUUCCUA
RNAcentral lists this microRNA precursor (66 nucleotides) under Monopterus albus (swamp eel). RNAcentral describes it as "Mal-Mir-190-P3_pre stem-loop". It matches the Rfam family "mir-190 microRNA precursor family", at positions 10 to 69 of the family's 78-position model. The record is from RNAcentral. Lineage: Eukaryota; Metazoa; Chordata; Actinopteri; Synbranchiformes; Synbranchidae.